This 373-nucleotide ribosomal RNA is filed under the name uncultured bacterium. RNAcentral describes it as "bacterial SSU rRNA". It matches the Rfam family "Bacterial small subunit ribosomal RNA", at positions 521 to 896 of the family's 1533-position model. The record is from RNAcentral.
UAAUACGGAGGAUCCAAGCGUUGUCCGGAUUUAUUGGGUUUAAAGGGUGCGUAGGCGGACUGAUAAGUCAGGGGUGAAAGCCGGUAGCUCAACUAUCGAAUUGCCUUUGAAACUGCCAGUCUUGAGUUUUGUUGAGGUAGGCGGAAUGUAUCAUGUAGCGGUGAAAUGCAUAGAUAUGAUACAGAACACCGAUUGCGAAGGCAGCUUACUAAGCAAAUACUGACGCUGAGGCACGAAAGCGUGGGGAUCAAACAGGAUUAGAUACCCUGGUAGUCCACGCCGUAAACGUUGAAUACUUGCUGUUAGCGAUAUACAGUUAGCGGCUCAGCGAAAGCGUUAAGUAUUCCACCUGGGGAGUACGCUCGCAAGAGUG